AACGAACGCUGGCGGCAGGCCUAACACAUGCAAGUCGAGCGGACCCUUCGGGGUUAGCGGCGGACGGGUGAGUAACGCGUGGGAAUAUGCCCUUCUCUACGGAAUAGUCCUGGGAAACUGGGGGUAAUUCCGUAUACGCCCUUUGGGGGAAAGAUUUAUCGGGGAAGGAUUAGCCCGCGUUGGAUUAGGUAGUUGGUGGGGUAAUGGCCUACCAAGCCGACGAUCCAUAGCUGGUUUGAGAGGAUGAUCAGCCACACUGGGACUGAGACACGGCCCAGACUCCUACGGGAGGCAGCAGUGGGGAAUCUUAGACAAUGGGGGCAACCCUGAUCUAGCCAUGCCGCGUGAGUGAUGAAGGCCUUAGGGUUGUAAAGCUCUUUCAGCUGGGAAGAUAAUGACGGUACCAGCAGAAGAAGCCCCGGCUAACUCCGUG
RNAcentral lists this ribosomal RNA (433 nucleotides) under uncultured bacterium. RNAcentral describes it as "partial 16S ribosomal RNA". It matches the Rfam family "Bacterial small subunit ribosomal RNA", at positions 29 to 507 of the family's 1533-position model. The record is from RNAcentral.